GUGAUACCUGGUGGAAGGUGUCUGCCAUUCCAUGUAUUGACCGGAACUACCUUGUAGGCGAUCUUGUUGAAGGUUCUGAUAUGGAAUUCUGUAGUCAAGAGUGAUCCAAGUGGUGCAAGCAGCCUGGCCAAGGGUGAGCCAAAGAGUGCCAGAGGAAGCUUGGCAUGAUGGAAGGAGGUUUAUGUGGCCAUUCUCUCAAGGAAAAUGCAGUCAGCAGAUUCAAUGAAGCUCAAAAAGCUAUAUAACAUUUCCUCAAAAAAGAGUGUAAUUUACAAAGGAGACAUUCAGUUGCAGCAGCGGAAAGAUAAACAAUACAUAUAAAGAUGGAAAUAAGGCAGAAUUGCCUGAAAUAGGGUACCAUUGCCAGAAGUUAGGCAGCAUUACCAGAAAUAAGGCAGAAUUGCUGGAAAUAAGGCAGAAUUGCUGGAAAUAAGGCAGCAUUACCAGAAAUAAGGCAGAAUUGCUAGAAAUAAGGCAGAAUUGCUGGAAAUAAGGCAGCAUUACCAGAAAUAAAGCAUAAUUGCAGGAAAUAAGACAGCAUUGCUGGAAGUAAAGCAACAUUACCAGAAAUAAGGCAGAAUUGCUGGAAAUAAGGUACCAUGCCGGAAGUCAGGCAGCAUUACCAGAAAUAAGGCAGAAUUGCUAGAAAUAAGGCAGAAUUGCUGGAAAUAAGGCAGCAUUACCAGAAAUAAAGCAUAAUUGCAGGAAAUAAGACAGUAUUGCUGGAAGUAAAGCAACAUUACCAGAAAUAAGGCAGAAUUGCUGGAAAUAAGGUACCAUGCCGGAAGUCAGGCAGCAUUACCAGAAAUAAGGCAGAAUUGCUGGAAAUAAGGCAGAAUUGCUGGAAAUAAGGUACCAUGCCGGAAGUCAGGCAGCAUUACCAGAAAUAAGGCAGAAUUGCUAGAAAUAAGGCAGAAUUGCUGGAAAUAAGGCAGCAUUACCAGAAAUAAAGCAUAAUUGCAGGAAAUAAGACAGCAUUGCUGGAAGUAAAGCAACAUUACCAGAAAUAAGGCAGAAUUGCUGGAAAUAAGGUACCAUGCCGGAAGUCAGGCAGCAUUACCAGAAAUAAGGCAGAAUUGCUGGAAAUAAGGCAGAAUUGCCAAAAAUAAGGCAGUAUUGCCAGAGAAAUUAAAUGCAAUGGGAGAAUUGCAUGGACUUACUUUAAAAAUGUGUAAUAUGUGUUUAAAUAUUUUAUGCAAGAUUUUGAUGUUUACUUGUUUUCAUAGUUUUUCUCAUUGGGAAAGGUGGGCAAAGUGUAAUGACCAGUGGGUUUGAGAGUUGGGAAAUUUGGCAUUUUGCAAUAUAUUUGGCUUCAUUAAAACAAACUGUGAAUACACCACGUCCUGUGAUUUCUGCUUUCUACACUGUAAAAUGGUUUCAUGAUUUAGGCGGUCUUAAAUCACCAACAGAUUCAAAAUUAGUAUUAGAUAUAUUAGAAGCAGCUAAAAGGUUGUUAUGUAAACCUACCAUAAAAAAAGGAACCUGUAGCAAUAGAGAUGUAUAAUCAGUCAUAUUCUACUGGAAAUUUGAAAAAAAAAAAAAGAAUUAUUUGUGCAUGCUUGAUGGC
This is a long non-coding RNA of Mercenaria mercenaria, 1567 nucleotides long. RefSeq lists it as uncharacterized. The transcript has 4 exons. Lineage: Eukaryota; Metazoa; Mollusca; Bivalvia; Venerida; Veneridae. The record is from RefSeq and is a predicted model, not a curated record.